Molecule: long non-coding RNA, 3676 nt
Organism: Beta vulgaris subsp. vulgaris (sugar beet)
Lineage: Eukaryota; Viridiplantae; Streptophyta; Magnoliopsida; Caryophyllales; Amaranthaceae
Exons: 2
Source: RefSeq, a predicted model, not a curated record
UACCUUUUUGGGGCCCACAUCAAGUCUCUCAACCUACUAUAAUCUCUUAAUUUUUUGAUAGAAAAAAUAAAUGUAGAGCUGUCAAAUUUUGAGUUGUUUUGCACUUCAGCUCCUUCAAGAAAACCAAUAAGUAUUUCCUUUGCCGAGGUUGUUUCACAUUUUGCUCUUUGUUAACCUACAAGAAUAAAGAUGUUGUCAUUUUCAUCUCAUACCUACCAUGGGAAAAUGAUUUCUUUAUCAAAAGGGGAUGAAAUUGGCAUCUUAUUCACUUCAAGAGGUGUACACUACUAUCACUUUGAGGUAGCUCCUGAACGUGUUUUUUGAUUUCCUGGAUAAUUUGGUAUUAUUUUUUCUUGUACAGUUGCAAGAUAGAGUUGGCGCUUCACCAGUUGAUAUGAGCUUACAUGGGUUCUAGUAAUUAUGAAAUAAGCGAGGAUGCAUCACAAUCGUCUGAUUGCCAACUUUUCAUGGCGGAUUUUGUUUGUAAGUGUAAAGUGUUACAUGAAGAACCAUAUAAAUUAGGCAAGGAGGAAAAACGGUAUAUCUUAUGGUUUAAUACAAGUACUACUUUGUAUUUGCUUUUGUAAAUUGUCUAUACGAUUGAAUAUGUUAUGUAUAUGUAUGAUCAUUUUGGAUCAUUUUUAUCGAAAUGAAAAUUUUAAUCAUUGUUUCCUUGUUUUAUUACAUUUGCUUAUUAUCAAUAUUAAAUUAUCACGGGGUAUAUUUAUAUGAGAAGGUAUUGUGUCAGACUCGUCUGACACAAUACAAAUGGUCGGAUCACUUCAGUUAGAAGCACUUGGGUUUCAGUUGAUCUUCAUUUUUUUCGGUUAAUUUCUAAUUUUUUUCAGUUAGUCUUCAUUUUUUUCAGUUAGAGUAUGGUGAUGGAACAUACGGAACCCCUGUUUCUUCCCAGGGAUGCAAAUUCCGAGAGAGAAGGUGAUGGGUAUAUACUCGCAUUCGUAUUGCGUGAAAAGCAAAAGAUAGAAGAAGUAAUCAACAUGAUCAACAAAUCAGUUCUUGAGAGGAAAGAGAAGAAGAAGAAGAUGGAUGAGCAGGAAUCUGUUAACAAUGAGUUGAAUAGUAGUGUUCAACGAGAUGUUUCUACUUCAAAUUCUUCUGAUUCAUAUAGAUCAUAACUAAGUUUACUGACCUUCCUGUCAUCAGUAAUGAUAUUAUUCUUUCCAGGAGUCUUGAAGCAAAGCCAAACAACUACUUGGACAAUUUGAAGGCAGAAUAAUGUUGUUUGGUUGAUUAUCUAGUCUUCUCUUCCUAUCGUGAGGACUGUGAGUAUGUUGUCGAUGUAAAUGAUGCUGCCGUGCAAGAAAGAAAUCUUUCUCUGCAAAAUGAGCUUGAGCACAUCAUUCUUGUCUAUUAUGAUUUAUGAAGGAGAUGGAACUGAAUUGCUUUUGUACAGCUUGCAAAGUGUGAUCUCCUGAGUUUGGCUCCUCGUUCUUGGCUGACUUCCAACAUCUUAGAUGCUGCUUCAUACUAGUUAAUGGUUUUGCAAGUAAAAUACUAAUGCAUAUAACUGAAUGAAAAAGAUAUUUGGUUAGUGUGGCAAUAGGUUGUACACUUUUUAUGAAUGAAACGUGUUCUUCCAUUUAUCUCUGGCCUUUUAUUUGCUUUAUUUUGUUGUUCGAGUUUUGUGUCCUUCGACUAUUGUUGGUUCCUCUAAAGUGCCCAUGUUAUUCGAUGUUUGAGGGGAUGCACUUGGUCCUCUCUACUCCUAGUUUGUGCCCCCUGCCAGGUUAGCCCAUUCCUCUAAUAUGGGCCUCCUGCUAGGUUUUCCUAGCUCAGGCCCCUCCCCUAUUUCGGGCUUUUGCUUGGGAUCGGGCCCAUGAACGUGGUUGGUGUGGCCUCGAAAAUUAUGUUCACGCCGACUCUUCUAUAAGUAUGCAGAGCUUUCUCUUCUUUUGAUUCAUCUCUCACAUUUCUUUAGAACAUGUCGCAACGAACUAUAACCCUUAAAGCACUUGGAGCUACCAAACUUCGCAAGAAGGAUGGUGUUAGUUCCACGCUGGUUCUGGCCAAUUCGACGACGACGUCAAUGGAUGGGUUGACUUUGAAGAUCAGUACCUCGCACUCUACAACGCUAUUGUCAAGUGUGGUGGUUGCCCCUCAUCUUGGCCCUAUGAAGCUCGAGGAGGGAGAGUGCGUCUCUGCUUAUCUUCCUCCUCCUUCAAUGGGAAACACUGAUACCUCUUGCAAGAGGAUGAAAGUCAAGGACUCUUCUCCUUCAACUCCUUUCAUUGCCCUUGAGAGGAGGGAUUUGCUUGAGAGGGUCGACAGGGAUUCUUGCUCGUUAUGACCUUUGUUGACGAGGAGUCUUUUCGGUCUCUAGGGGAGCUCAAGGUGGAGGCUCGGGAAGCGACAUGGGUCAAGUUCUCCAUUCGAGUCGCUGCGAUGACUCGUUCAAGUGGAGGCAUAUGAAGACAAGGCGCUAAUGAGGUUGGCUACCAGCAUCAAGAGGAGAUUUGGGUCCUCAAUGAAAAGCUUCACAUUGUGGAGCUCAAGUUGGGGGAGGCGGAGACCACCAUCAUAAAGGGGCAGAUGUCCUUAGAUCGAUGAAAGGAUAGCUCAACUCUAGGUUACCAUCAAGGACCUUGAGGCCUAGCGGGGAUCGGCCAGCCAGAGUCGUCACUAAGCAUUAAAGGAAUGCAAGGAGGCUUAUGCUAGGGCUGACAAUGCCAACAAAAGGACCGAGAAGGUCCUAAAUGGACACGACCCGCAAGGUGGACAUCACCAAUAAUGAGUGAAAGGCCUUGAAGGAGGGGAAGGUCCUAUUAGUUGAUACCUCUCUUGAGGCUUAUGAGCUUGUUAUUUUAGAGGCCUUCAAGAAGUCCAAGCCAUCCUUUUGAAGGUGGUGUUAAAAUAAUGUUAAUCUAGAAAAAUCUUUGUUACUUUUGUAAUAUAUGUAAUCUAUAUUCUAGAAUGUGCCUAACAAAAAUCUAGUAAAUAAACUAGAAAGAUCUAGUAAGAACAAAAAAAAAAAAAAAAAAAAAAAAUAGAACUAUGCAGUUAGGUUGUAAACCGACUUAGAGCACUAUAAAUUCAUGUGAGUGCUCCUAGGUGUUUGUGUGUGUUUACAUGUAAUACAAAUCUUCCAAAAUAAUAUAAAAAGUCUUCUCCAUUGUUCUCCCUUGUCAAAUACUACAUUAAAAUUUUGCCUCCCAAAAUUACCAAAGCCCACUAACUACUUCCUCUAAUAAAUCCAUCAGGUGGCACUUGAACAUCCUUGGUUAGUGGUCGACUAAGGGUUAGCAGCCUUAGCUAAGGUCGAGGCCGACAACCUGCCUCAGGUGCGAAAGACAACGACCGAGGCUCUUCUUCUCGUGGCCUCGAUGCUGACGUUGUUUCCUUUGGCGAAUGAGCAUCCCUACCUGAAAACAUAUGAUGGGACGACUAUCCAAGGAUCUAAGCUCAAGCUUUGCUAGAUUCGCAACGUGCAGUUUUACAGAAAAGGGCCCACUCGUUAAGGCCAACGGACUCUCCCGCCAGGUUAAUGAACCCUCUCGAGAGCUUCUGAUCUUGAAGCAAUAAGUGUAACUUCCCUCUAUACUGGGAUGACAUUCAUGAUUUUUUUAUAGCACUUGAUCUUUGUAAACUUAAUCAUGAUUUCCUUGCCUCUGUUGUACUUCUACUAUCUCGAUUAAUGAAAUAAAGUUUUUGCUUCAAA